AUAAUUAACAAAAUGUACAGUAUGAGUAUAUAUGGCACAGCAAGUGAUAUGUACUUUUUUUUUUUUUUUUUUUUUUUUAACUUAUAUCUUCAACAUCAACGGCGUUUUAAUGUCCACAAAUUUGUCACGUCCGGGAAUAGAAAAUACGUAUUGCAUCACCCCGCCCACUAACUUUAUUGUUUCGUUGGAUGGCUGGGAC
RNAcentral lists this long non-coding RNA (199 nucleotides) under Elaeis guineensis (African oil palm). RNAcentral describes it as "long non-coding RNA (EGUI_LNC004972)". The record is from RNAcentral. Lineage: Eukaryota; Viridiplantae; Streptophyta; Magnoliopsida; Arecales; Arecaceae.